Molecule: ribosomal RNA, 232 nt
Filed under: uncultured bacterium
Lineage: Bacteria
Description: partial 16S ribosomal RNA
Rfam family: Bacterial small subunit ribosomal RNA
Source: RNAcentral
CGGACGGGUGAGUAAUGUCUGGGAAACUGCCCGAUGGAGGGGGAUAACUACUGGAAACGGUAGCUAAUACCGCAUAACGUCGCAAGACCAAAGAGGGGGACCUUAGGGCCUCUUGCCAUCGGAUGUGCCCAGAUGGGAUUAGCUAGUAGGUGGGGUAACGGCUCACCUAGGCGGCGAUCCCUAGCUGGUCUGAGAGGAUGACCAGCCACACUGGAACUGAGACACGGUCCAG